Molecule: ribosomal RNA, 504 nt
Filed under: uncultured bacterium
Lineage: Bacteria
Description: bacterial SSU rRNA
Rfam family: Bacterial small subunit ribosomal RNA
Source: RNAcentral
GAUCAUGGCUCAGGAUGAACGCUGGCGGCGUGCCUAACACAUGCAAGUCGAACGGGUUAAGGGAAAUUUCGGAUGGAACUAACUAGUGGCGGACGGGUGAGUAACGCGUGGAUAACCUGCCUCACACUGGGGGAUAGCAGCUGGAAACGGCUGGUAAUACCGCAUAAGACCACAGCACCGCAUGGUGCAGGGGUAAAAGAUUUAUCGGUGUGAGAUGGAUCCGCGUCUGAUUAGCCAGUUGGCGGGUAACGGCCCACCAAAGCGACGAUCAGUAGCCGGCCUGAGAGGGUGAACGGCCACAUUGGGACUGAGACACGGCCCAAACUCCUACGGGAGGCAGCAGUGGGGAAUAUUGCACAAUGGGCGCAAGCCUGAUGCAGCAACGCCCGCGUGAGUGAAGAAGUAUUUCGGUAUGUAAAGCUCUAUCGGCAGGGAAGAAAGGCCCGAAAGGGAGAUGACGGUACCUGACUAAGAAGCCCCGGCUAACUACGUGCCAGCCGCUGC